Acanthosepion pharaonis is the source of this 104-nucleotide non-coding RNA. The record is from the annotation of a GenBank genome assembly. NCBI's taxonomy places the organism in Eukaryota, Metazoa, Mollusca, Cephalopoda, Sepiida, Sepiidae.
UUACGGCCAUAUCACGAUGAAACACCGGUUCUCGUACGAUUAGCGAAGUUAAGCCUAACCAGUAAUUAGAUGUGUGUCCACUUGGGAAAACCAAGUGUUGUAAG